Molecule: long non-coding RNA, 647 nt
Organism: Lolium rigidum
Lineage: Eukaryota; Viridiplantae; Streptophyta; Magnoliopsida; Poales; Poaceae
Exons: 3
Source: RefSeq, a predicted model, not a curated record
AUCAGGUUCUGGUUAACAUGGUGGCUUGGUGCAUAUACUGGAAGCUAGAACAGAAUUUGCAAUGUCAGAAAUAGCUAGAGAUCAAUGAAGACACAGCGAUUGUGCACGUAUCAAUCAAAAGAUGAAGAUGACUCAAAAGAGAGCCUUGAGCAAUAUUGGCUACGGAUCUAUCAGCAUUAUGAAAAUAUACAAUCACUUAUCUUAUAUAUUGUUUGUUCCAUCAUAUAAUACCAGCACCAUAUUGCUUGUGCAACUUGUCCAUGUAUUGGAUCUUGAUGCUAGAGUUUUCACAAUCUAUAAUGGAAGAAAUCACAGUAAGUGCAAAUUUUGGGAUGUGCUUGGCUAAAAUCUAAUUCUGCAAAGUGCAUUCUGGAGCAACUCAGUUGUACCAUUGGGACGAAUGGUGAACGUUCGUAGGGUUUAUAGUGACGAGGACAAAAGGAUAAUUCUUGUAGCCCUUUUGUGUAAAACAAAGCCAAAUGUGUUGAGUGAUGUUGUAACUAAAGAAGUGGCAGCCCAGUUCAUGGUACCGUUGCGAGUUGUGCAACGUGUAUGGUUUGAUCAUCUUCAAGGUAUUGAGAAUGUUUGUAACAAGAAACCUUUGAAUUGUUGGUGUAAAAGAGUUGAGGUUGAUCCCGAAGCCAUCA